Molecule: transfer RNA, 75 nt
Filed under: Mariprofundaceae bacterium
Lineage: Bacteria; Pseudomonadati; Pseudomonadota; Candidatius Mariprofundia; Mariprofundales; Mariprofundaceae
Description: tRNA-Gln
Rfam family: tRNA
About the family: Transfer RNA (tRNA) molecules are approximately 80 nucleotides in length. Their secondary structure includes four short double-helical elements and three loops (D, anti-codon, and T loops).
Source: RNAcentral
UGGGGCGUAGCCAAGUGGUAAGGCAACGGGUUUUGAUCCCGUCAUGCGUAGGUUCGAACCCUGCCGCCCCAGCCA